ACGGAAGGCAGCAGUGGGGGAUAUUGCACAAUGGGGGAAACCCUGAUGCAGCAAUGCCGCGUGAGGGAAGACGGUCUUCGGAUUGUAAACCUAAGUAGUCAGGGAUGAAGAAAGUGACAUUACCUGAAGAGUAAGCUCCGGCUAACUACGUGCCAGCAGCCGCGGUAAUACGUAGGGAGCGAGCGUUGUCCGGAUUUACUGGGUGUAAAGGGUGCGUAGGCGGGCUUGCAAGUCAGGCGUGAAAUACCGGGGCUUAACUCCGGGGCUGCGCUUGAAACUGUAAGUCUUGAGUGAAGUAGAGGCAGGCGGAAUUCCCAGUGUAGCGGUGAAAUGCGUAGAUAUUCGGAGGAACACCAGUGGCGAAGGCGGCUUACUGGGCUCUAACUGACGCUGAGGCACGAAAGCAUGGGUAGCAAACAGGAUUAGAUACCCUGGUA
Molecule: ribosomal RNA, 437 nt
Filed under: uncultured Clostridium sp.
Lineage: Bacteria; Bacillati; Bacillota; Clostridia; Eubacteriales; Clostridiaceae
Description: partial 16S ribosomal RNA
Rfam family: Bacterial small subunit ribosomal RNA
Source: RNAcentral